GGCCUGGAGGGGCGCGUUUACGGGUUUUCGAAGUGGUGCGGGGGUACUCGGCGGGAGCGACGUCACGCUCCAGAUUCCUAACCUGCUAUCUGCUGGGCGGAGCCUCUGAGUUUAGCUGAGUCUCGGAGAUGGAAUUGGGGCAGGCGCUUGUCACAUAAAGUCCGUGCCCUGCUCGCGGGCUCAUGUCGCAACACUGACAAACCCGGGAGCCUUCGUGAGAGUGCAAAAAUGAGAGAUGAGGCACCAGAGGUCCCCAGGGCGCAAAUCUGAAAGCCAGCGCCUCCUGAGCACAGGCUGCCAGGGGCGAGACGACAUUAGACAUUGCCCCCCAGAUAUAAGAAGCAUCGCUUCCUUCAGACAGAGCAGAUUGAUAGAUGAAGCAUAAAACAAGACCAGAUGCUGUGGUUUCCAGGAUGCACUUGGCUUCCCAUCCUUUAUGACCUGGAGCAUUUUUUGCCGUCUGUUCCUGAUGUGUCCACCAGAGACCAGUCCCAUUAGGUAUCCAUAAGGUUUAAGAACAUGGUCAUUGCAACCCAACAGACUUGACUUUAGAUGACCAAGGUUUGGGUGAUACCACAUAGCCUGUGGACUUCCUGCUUCCUGGAAUGGCUUCACUGUUGUGAGGAUAGGAAAUGAGAGAAAGAUGAGCCUACUGUAAUUCUGAGGAUCAGGGCAUCCUUAGUCUACGUGAACAAAGAUGGUAGAAAGACAGCACUAUAGUUGGUUUGCAUUCUGUGCCCUGAAGCAGAAAUGUCUUUAAGGCCUCCUUUACCCUCUGUUAACUGCAAAAUAAACAGAUGUCUAGUAGAAAAGGUUAUUAUCAACAUUCUGUGCAAUUUGGGAGAACAAGAAGUUGGGAUCGCUUGACCUAGCUUCCAACAGCAAACUCAGGCCAAGUAAACUACCAAGGUAAGUAUACUACCAAAAGUAGCUUACUCUUAGGGCAAAAUUUUUCUGGUUUACAAGUUUCUGGAUGUAAUUGAAAAGGACAGUACAUUUCAAAAAUAGAAUAAUGGCCAUUCUCAGUCAGGGACCAGUUUAAUUCUACUUAAAGACUGAGAACACUUAAUGUGCCAAAUUCAAUUCAUAAGAAAAAGUUGACCAGUUAAUAGGACAAGUGCCUCAACAGAAUAUGAAAUGCAGACAGUCCUAUUUUACAGCUACAAGUUAUUUUAAAAAUCAUUAUAAAGACUAUAAUAAAAUAAUAAAAUAUAAUAUUUUAUAGUUAGUAAGUCCACAAGAACACAUUAAUAAGACACAUCUCAAUUAAGCAUUCCUUUGU
This is a long non-coding RNA of Aethalodelphis obliquidens (Pacific white-sided dolphin), 1282 nucleotides long. RefSeq lists it as uncharacterized. The record is from RefSeq and is a predicted model, not a curated record. NCBI's taxonomy places the organism in Eukaryota, Metazoa, Chordata, Mammalia, Artiodactyla, Delphinidae. The transcript is spliced from 6 exons.